GACGAACGCUGGCGGCGUGCCUAAUACAUGCAAGUAGAACGCUGAAGGAGGAGCUUGCUUCUCUGGAUGAGUUGCGAACGGGUGAGUAACGCGUAGGUAACCUGCCUGGUAGCGGGGGAUAACUAUUGGAAACGAUAGCUAAUACCGCAUAAGAGUAGAUGUUGCAUGACAUUUGCUUAAAAGGUGCAAUUGCAUCACUACCAGAUGGACCUGCGUUGUAUUAGCUAGUUGGUGGGGUAACGGCUCACCAAGGCGACGAUACAUAGCCGACCUGAGAGGGUGAUCGGCCACACUGGGACUGAGACACGGCCCAGACCCCUACGGGAGGCAGCAGUAGGGAAUCUUCGGCAAUGGACGGAAGUCUGACCGAGCAACGCCGCGUGAGUGAAGAAGGUUUUCGGAUCGUAAAGCUCUGUUGUAAGAGAAGAACGAGUGUGAGAGUGGAAAGUUCACACUG
RNAcentral lists this ribosomal RNA (457 nucleotides) under Streptococcus mitis. RNAcentral's name for it is "bacterial SSU rRNA". It matches the Rfam family "Bacterial small subunit ribosomal RNA", at positions 28 to 471 of the family's 1533-position model. Lineage: Bacteria; Bacillati; Bacillota; Bacilli; Lactobacillales; Streptococcaceae. The record is from RNAcentral.